Molecule: ribosomal RNA, 502 nt
Filed under: uncultured bacterium
Lineage: Bacteria
Description: partial 16S ribosomal RNA
Rfam family: Bacterial small subunit ribosomal RNA
Source: RNAcentral
GAUGAACGCUAGCGGCAGGCCUAACACAUGCAAGUCGAGGGGCAGCACAGAAACAGCAAUGUUUUGGUGGCGACCGGCGGACGGGUGCGUAACGCGUAUGCAACCUACCUUUAACAGGGGGAUAACGGAGAGAAAUUUCCACUAAUACCCCAUAACAUCGAUCAAGGCAUCUUGAUUGGUUGAUAACUCCGGUGGUUAAAGAUGGGCAUGCGUUGUAUUAGGUAGUUGGUGAGGUAAUGGCUCACCAAGCCUACGAUACAUAGGGGGACUGAGAGGUUAGCCCCCCACACUGGUACUGAGACACGGGCCAGACUCCUAGGGGAGGCAGCAGUGAGGAAUAUUGGUCAAUGGGGGCAACCCUGAACCAGCCAUGCCGCGUGCAGGAAGACGGCUCUAUGAGUUGUAAACUGCUUUUAAACAGGGAUAAAGCACAGUAUGUAUACUGUGUUGAAGGUACUGUAAGAAUAAGGAUCGGCUAACUCCGUGCCAGCCGCCGCAGUAA